GCGAUCAUACCAGCCCUAAUGCACCGGAUCCCAUCAGAACUCCGAAGUUAAGCAUGCUUGGGCGAGAGUAGUACUAGGAUGGGUGACCCCUAGGAAGUCCUCGUGUUGCACCCC
Molecule: ribosomal RNA, 114 nt
Filed under: Salvia splendens (bonfire salvia)
Lineage: Eukaryota; Viridiplantae; Streptophyta; Magnoliopsida; Lamiales; Lamiaceae
Source: RNAcentral